Molecule: ribosomal RNA, 215 nt
Filed under: uncultured Bacteroidota bacterium
Lineage: Bacteria; Pseudomonadati; Bacteroidota
Description: uncultured Bacteroidetes bacterium partial 16S ribosomal RNA
Rfam family: Bacterial small subunit ribosomal RNA
Source: RNAcentral
UUAAUGCCCUAUAGUAUCUUUUUAAGGCAUCUUAUUAAGAUUAAAGGUUACGGUAUGAGAUGAGUAUGCGUUCUAUUAGCUAGUAGGUGUGGUAACGGCACACCUAGGCUACGAUAGAUAGGGGCCCUGAGAGGGGGAUCCCCCACACUGGUACUGAGACACGGACCAGGUUUAUUCGUGAGGCAGCAGUAAGGAAUAUUGGUCAAUGGACGAAA